AUGCCCACGCUCUACCCAGGUUGCCACCACCUGUGGGAGCCGGUCAAGGCCACGGGGCCCGGGCUGGAGCAACCCAAAGCCUCAGGAUCGAGGGAGAGCAACAGCAAGUGUCAGGCCAGAAGAAACAGGAUAAAGCCAUUCUUCCUUCCACCCAGACUGUCUGCCAAUCCUCUGACGUGGAUUUUGGAGGACCUGCCUAGCUGUCUGCUGACUGUUCUUCCUCAGCAUAGCUGCCCUGUCACAGCUAGUGAAGGUCGGGAGCAGCAGAAACCCAGCCCUGUUGUCUGCGAGUGAUAACGUAGGUUAUUGUAGUCACUGUACCCACCCCACCCAGGCCAGUGUGCAGUGUUCAGCUGGGGACCAAGGGGCAAUGUCCCCGAUGUAGAAAGAAUAGUAAGGCCAAAUCAAGGUGGCAAGGAAAUUUAGGGUUGUUUCUGGUAGGGAUUUUUACGUGAUCCUAAGUGUGUUUCAAAGGCACGUGUUAUUUCCGGUGUCAUUCUGACUGUAAGGAAGCGAGGUUGAGGGUGUAAGUGGGCAUUUUCCUAAAGAGCUGCUGCUAGGAGCUUAUAGGCAGGAAACAAUCUGGAAGCUUCUCACCUGGAGAGGCUCUCCGAUUCUUUCUUCAAGUGAGCCUCCUUUAAGUUGAGAAAGUGAAUGUGGAGGAGGGCUCAGAUCUUCUCGGUACCUGAGCCCAGCCUUGGCACUUGGGCCCCUCCUGCCACGGCUCCUGCCACUUCUCAGACUUGAAUUAUGUUCUCUUUCCUGGGGUCUGGCCUGCAGCAGGUGCCUUUCCUCUCCAAAAAGCUGUUGCUCACGUCCGGCCUCAUCUCCUCCCAUCUCUGCUGUUAGCCAUGGCAGUUGGCAUCACCAGGGUCUUAGCUAGAGAUGUUAUUCUGCGUUAGUGUUUGCCUGUCACCUGACUGGGCACAUCUGCGAUGACUAGCUGUGAUGUCAAGGGACACUUUGGAACUUUCAAGGUUGGAAGACAAACCAUUAAGCACUUUAAUUUUUCCGAAGACCCACUGACUUGCCAGUGUGCAUGGUAAUGAGACAUUAGAGUAGAAACUAGCACCGGCUCUUAUUUAAUGUUGACCCUCUGGCAGAACUGGGCCACAGCGAGUGGGUUUCGGGCGGGCUUCCUCCUGGGAGGGCAGCGCGUUGGUCGAGGACGUUGCUCUGCUUCCCAGCUGGGUUUCUGCCCUUUUCCAGCUUGCCUCGCCCAGCCCUCGCUCUUUUCCAGGCCCCUGCUCCAGACCUCUCUGCCCAGGGCACUCAGCUCUAGCCAGAGGGUGAU
Molecule: long non-coding RNA, 1294 nt
Filed under: Sus scrofa (pig)
Lineage: Eukaryota; Metazoa; Chordata; Mammalia; Artiodactyla; Suidae
Description: lncRNA (ENSSSCG00070028441.1)
Source: RNAcentral